RNAcentral lists this ribosomal RNA (253 nucleotides) under uncultured bacterium. RNAcentral describes it as "partial 16S ribosomal RNA". It matches the Rfam family "Bacterial small subunit ribosomal RNA", at positions 524 to 776 of the family's 1533-position model. The record is from RNAcentral.
UACGGGGGGGGCAAGCGUUGUUCGGAAUUACUGGGCGUAAAGGGCUCGUAGGUGGCCAACUAAGUCGGACGUGAAAUCCCUCGGCUUAACCGGGGAACUGCAUCCGAUACUGGAUGGCUUGAGUUCGGGAGAGGGAUGUGGAAUUCCAGGUGUAGCGGUGAAAUGCGUAGAUAUCUGGAGGAACACCGGUGGCGAAAGCGCUCAUCUGGCCCAAUACUGACGCUGAGGCGCGAAAGCUAGGGGAGCAAACAGG